UACAGAGGGUGCAAGCGUUAAUCGGAAUUACUGGGCGUAAAGCGUGCGUAGUCGGUUAUCUAAGUCGGGUGUGAAAUCCCCGGGCUCAACCUGGGAAUUGCAUUCGAUACUGGAUAGCUAGAGUUCGGCAGAGGGAAGCGGAAUUUCCGGUGUAGCGGUGAAAUGCGUAGAUAUCGGAAGGAACAUCAGUGGCGAAAGCGGCUUCCUGGACCAGAACUGACGAUCAAGCACGAAAGCGUGGGGAGCAAACAGG
Molecule: ribosomal RNA, 253 nt
Filed under: uncultured bacterium
Lineage: Bacteria
Description: partial 16S ribosomal RNA
Rfam family: Bacterial small subunit ribosomal RNA
Source: RNAcentral